AUGUAUACUUGGUAGUAUUCGCGCGCGUUUCUUGAUUGAACACAUGAAAAUGUAUAAACGCACAAAUGUUUAUAAAUUUAUGGGAAUGGUUUCUGAAGUUCGAAGGCACAAAGCCAUUGUGAGUUUUGGACUUAAUGGGUGCCAUGAGCAUGCCAUUUUAAAAGCGGAUAAAUUAUUUUUGUUCGGUAAUCGUCAAUCGGAAAACCUUACUGAGAUAUUGUCGGUAGGAAUGGUAAUAACAUUUUCGGCUCACACCCUUUCGCAAGUGAGUGAAGAGAACUGCGCGUGGUACAUCUAUUUUGCAACAACAGACUGCGUGAGUAAGUUCGACGGUAGAAUUGGUUGCAUUCAGAAAAAUGCUGAAUUCAUUCUGCCACUACGUUUUCACGUUGGCCGAGUUGAUCAUUUGAAUGAUCGUAAUGGGGCAAUAGAAUGCUACGACAAUUCAGGUGCCACUUCAUUGGUGUUCUUUUGUGCAUCAAAGUUUUAUAUUCAUGGAAGUAAUUUCGAUGCAAAUGGGAAACUUAACCAAGUUCUGGAUGGUAAUGAUCUACUGCAUUUUGAUGCAAUUCCAUGCAUACCGCUCAACAACAUCACAUGUUCAGAGUGGAAUGCUACUCUUGUGUGGAUUGGCAGACGGCCAAGAGUGAAAGAAAUAAACUGUCCCACUGAAGUUAAUUUUAGAGAGUUCAUCCAGGGAUAUAAAUUCAGAUGGUUUAUCCGUCAGCAGGUGACAAACUGAAAACUGGUUCUGAAGAAAGGAAAGAAAAAAAGGUUGGCCUAUAUUCUGCUGUGCAAUGCCAACGCCUUAUAUGUUAAAGCUGAAGGUCGAGUCAUGUUCCUGAUUAACCAUGAAUUUGGUGUAGCUUUACUCAUGAUAAGGCCAAAUGUCUUGCAAACGGCAUUGUUUCACAGGAAUGACACUUUUUCUUGUGGACGUAACAUGAGAGAUUGUGAUUUGAGGAAAGUCCUGAAAGAAGGUGAUGCUCUUCGUUUUAUUGGUGUACAAGCACCAAAGGGGGUGUUGACGAGGUUUGUGGCUUAUAAAAUUCAUAUCUGCAAAUUUUAAAAAACUUAAGAAUUUUAUGUCAAGUUUAUUUUAUUUUUUUAAACAUAGUACAAAUAUAUUAAUAUGCUAGUCUUAGAUUUUUCAUUCAAUAAGCUUGGCACUAUUGUACAAGUUUCGAAGUACUGUCAAGAACUUACUGUUAAUGGAGCCUUGUACAGCUGGCAAGCUGAAAUACCUCAAAUGUAUUAGUUACAAUAUUUUACAAGAAGUGUUUUAUGAGCUGUUUGAACUUAAGUAUUUUUUUAAUAACGAAGACAUGACUGAAUGAUUUGUCUCAUUGUUAUGCAAUUUUAUAUUUAAAAGAAUUGUUAAAUUUUGUACUUACAUAUAUGAUGUUAAUUGAUUACUUACUAUGUCAUAGAAAGUUUAUGUAAUUGUUAAUUGUAGGAGUAUUUAACUCAGGUUACUUUGAUUUGAAGGGCCUAUGUUAUAACUAUACUCCAUCUGAAAGUAUUUUGUCUUUGAUAUAGAGAAAUGUUAACUAAAACUAUGCAUAAGUGUGAGAUGUAUUCUUUGCUUCAGGAUGUGAAUUUCUAACUUCUAAUUUCAUGUAAACCUUAUUCAUGUCAUUGUAAAGAAUUAUAGGGUAAAGUGACCGAAUAUUGGAUAGGUUGCUAAUAUCGGAUACCAGGAUAUUUGACACACGGAUGCUGCACGCUAUUUGUGGUGUUAUUAAACAGUUGCCUUUAAGUACUCUUUGUACUCUUAAGUACUCGCGAGAAUGCGCGGCCGUUGUCACCAGCGUGCCAGACGCCAUUAUCGUUUGUGUGUUUUAUGAAGUUUCGAAAUUUUCAAGGAGAGUUUUGAACUGCAGAUUGCGGGUAGAAGGUGGGUAGUUACAAACCACAUCUAUACAUUAGAUCAAACUACAAGUGUUGUAGUUUCAUGUAUAAGUGUUGUUUAUGCAUACACAAGUUUGGUUUUGACACAGAAAAAUGUAACAACCGAAGUUGUAUGAUGCCUAAUAUCGGAUACUGAGGGAUGCUGAAUAUCGGAUAUCCGAUAAUAGGGCUUCAAUUCUAAUUUUACCGCAAAAAUUUGCUCCACGAAAAACAACUUUGAAUUAUCGAAAUAAAUUUAUUAAAACAGUAAUUAUAAAUUGGGAAUGUUAAAUAAAAAUAUGUGUUGUAUUAUUUAAAUAAUUUUGACGACCUAAUUUGUACAUAAUUUUCGUGUGGCAUUAAACUUUAAUGUUUUUAGAGAUUUGAACCAAAAAAAUAGUCAAGCCUACUGUUGAUAACCCUGUCUGUUUGAUUCUUGAUGGACAUUACUCCCAUACAAGAAAUUUAAAUGUGAUAGAACUAGCACGGCAGAUUGGGGUGAAAAUAAUUUUCCUUCCACCACAUUCGACACACAAGCUACAACCUUAAGAUGUAGCUUUCAUGGCUCCAUUUAAAAGUUUUAUUCUGCUUAAAUUGAACAUUGGCUGGAUGCCUAUCCUUUCAGAGCUGUUUCUGUUUACCAAGUUGGAAGUUUAAUGGGACGCGCCUGCAUGAGAGAAGCUACCAUGGAAUCAGCUGUAAAUGGGUUCAGAAAGUGUGGUAUAUCGCCAUUUGAUCCACUAGUCUUUGGAGAACAAGAUUUCCUCCCUGAAGAAAAGUAGAAUCACAAAACAGGUCAACGUUUGGAACAUGAAAAUGAUGUAACCAUGGCUGGAAAUUACUCUACCUAUCCAAUUUGAUGAAGGAUCUGAAGACAGGACAAAGGACCGAGAAGGAACAAGCUAUGAUACAUCCAUGGAUGAAAUCACAGACAUCCCAAAAACUUGUGAGGCUCAGAAGAAGAGAAACGCUGCAGUUACAAUCAGCCCGUUCCAUUUACGUCCAUGUCCUAGGCUACCAGGGCCUUCUAAAAAGAGUCGUAGGUCUGGACAAACAGCCGUCAUCACUUCAUCUCCAUACAAGGCACAGCUUACAGUCUCUCUACAAAAUGCAGAGUUAAGGAGACGUAAGCAGAAUCUUCCAACGAGUUCCAAGAAAGAAAUUGUAAAAAAAAAAAUCUUAAAGGGAGCAACAACGUCCAUUUUUAGGAAGACAGCCUUGCCGAAAUCAUGUGGAAAGAAAGGAACUUUAAAUGCAAAUUUCACAGAUUCGGAAGAUUCAGAAUUGGAGGACGAACCACCUCUUGUUUCAACGGAUGACAGCGACAGUGCAGAUGAAGAGUGCCUCUACUGUGGUGUGCCAUAUCACGAAGAUCAUUCUGGAUUCGGUGCAUUCGCUGUCUAGGAUUGGUACAUGAAACAUUUGCUGUAAUUGGUAAAUACAGCUGGAAAACAUUUGUUUGUGAAAACUGUGGUUCGUGAUUUAGUUAAUUUGUUUGGCUCAGACAGACGUUUAAUAUGUUCCACAGAACUCAGGUUCCUUGCAAUCAAUGCUUGAUAUAUUUUUAGUUCUUUUUCUUUAAGUCUAACAGUUAUGUAUUGUACUUGAUCAACUGCCGGGAAGAAUUAUGCCUUAUUUCAUAAUUUAAUUUUGAAAACACCUACUAUCCGAUAUUAGGAACACCUAGUAUCCGAUAUUAGGCUACUUUUUUCCAGAACUGAUAAAUGUUAUUGUUUUCCUUUUUAUUAUUCUAAUAUUUCCGUGAACUAUUUGCGUACUUGAAAUACAUGUCAGUGUAAACUAUGUUUAACAAAGCAAAUAAUGGAGUAAAUUGUAAUUCUUAAUAUAAUUUCUUUCAUUAAGAAAAUUUAAAUUUUAAAAAAGUAUCCAAUAUUCUGUCACUUUACCCUAAAUGCCCGUCAGUACAUUGUAGAUUUCUGUGUAGCUGACACAAGUUUUAAGUUAACUAAUUGAUACUCUUUUAAAUGUUGUUCAAAUAACUAAGGAAUGUAACUAAAAAAAUUUUAUUUUGUUGUGGAACGCAUCAUUUUUAGCACAUGCAAAUUACAUAAAAUGUGUAAAUAUUUUUGAUGUUGAAGACUAUGCAUAGUCGACUAAUUGAAACAGAAAUUUGUCAUGAAAAUAGGUUUUAAACCGUUGUUUAUUUGUUAAUUUAGUUUUAAUUAUUUUUGCAUUAUUUGGUCUACUAGUGUGUCUAAUUAUAGAAUGCAUAAUAAAACUACCAGCUUGGCUGAACUGGAAUCAAAUAAUGCUUUGUCCUAUAAGCAGUCUGCAUGUCUAUAGGAUGUUUGACUCGUGAAUUUAUUCCAUGGUUAUUUUAAACGAGGAAGAAAAAUGUCCAAAAUAUUUUAACAAUGUACAAAAAUUCUUUUAUGUACUGUGCUGAUGAUAAACUAUUUAAAGUGAUGUGGUAGCCUACUUUGGAAUUAUAUAUAUAAAGUUAUUAUUUGGAGUUUGUUUGUAUUUUAAGGAAUGUUUUAGCAAUAAAAUCUUUAAAAUGAGUAUAACGCAACAGAACAUUGACAAAAAUGUUUAAGGAAGCUGGAAUAAUUAAAAAUAGUGUGAAAUGUCAUGUGAUGUGGGCUAGUACAUAUAAAAUAAAUACCAUCUCCAAUUUUCCCAGUGAGUAAAUAAUGGCAGCUUGUUCAUAUUGAACCAAUAUGUACAUAGUAUUUGGCUUUUCAGAAUUGAUUCUUUAAGAUCAACUGAAAAUUUUAUAAUUUCUGUUUUGUAGCAUUUCAAGUUAAGUUGGUUCUCUUUUUUUUGGUGUAGCAUGUAAAAAAACCUCAAAAAAUUUUUUCUCUUAUUCUUCAGUUCCCAAAACUUUGGAUCUGAUGGGAAAUUUUAUCAACUCAGCACUUAUUGAUGAAGCUAUUAUCUCCAAUAUAUCUAAUUUGAAUUUUUAUAGUUUUGUGGGAUUCUCACACAAAACUCAAAAAGCCAAUGUUUUCUAAGCUUUGUUGGGGCUGGUACAUACAAAUUUUUUUGUUAGCUGACUCACAAAAACUUUUUAAGUAUCCAUCUUUAGCAUGGUGUUGGUCACCAUAAUAUAUAACAUUAGUAUCAGUCUUACUUAAUCCAGGAACAAAAUAGUGUUUGCAACUUCCCACCACAACCACAAAUCUAUUGUGGUGUGGGCAAAUCAAAGUACACAGGGAUUUAAAGAAUAUUAUAUAUCUACAUAUUAUUGUGUGUUUGUAUUAUGAAUUUAUAGAAUAUAUAUAUUAGUUAAAAAUAAGUAUGCAGUGUUAAACCAUUAUGAAACAAAUGUGCUGGUGGCAGUCAUGAAUGCAAUGCUAAUUUUUCUCACCAAGAAAAUUUUACUUAUGAUAAAGUUUAUUUCCACAAUUUUAGUAAAUGAACAUUUUUUUUUUAAUUUUUCAAAACUUAGUUUUCUAUUCUUAAGUAAAAUAUAAUUUUGCCUAGUAAUACAAUGUUCAGGACAUUACGUGUACUCAAUGAUCUCUAUCAACCUCCCCUCCUUUUUUUUCCAUUUAGUCAGAACAUAUUUCAAAAUAUAUUUUUUCAUUUUCACUUGUUUUUCUACUUUUACUUACCACUUACUCUGGUUAGCAACUUACCCUAGAGUAUUUGUUACUAACAAUUUUGGAAAUUAUAAGCAUAACAUGCUGCUUAAAGUGCUAGAAGAAACAAAUACUUGCUGAUACCAUGGAUCUAUUUUCUUCUACUGGCAUGUCUUGCCAUUUCCCCUAAAAUAUAAGUGUAUUAAGCUGUUGUAUUUUGUUUAGAUAGGUCACUGUCUUGUAUAAUUUUGUAAAUUUUUUAGUGCACACAACUGUAAUGAAGAUGCAAAUUACAUGCCUAUUACUUACAGAACUUAUUUCUGUCUAACCUAACUGCAUAAUGUAAGUUUUAUUUAAAAUUUUGAUAACUGCACGUCAGACAAGUGUAACUUCAUUAGUAUUUCAACAAUUUGCUUAAAGCCGAAUUUAAGUUUGUGUAUGGAAGUUUAACCUAAUGUUUACUUACACAUUGUAACUUGUUUCGGUUUAUUUCAUGAUACUGUAGAGUUAAGAUUAUUCAUAGACAUAAUACUGUUUAAAAAGUUAUAAUUUUUAAAAUUUGAUAGAAUGUUGGAACUUCAUGUUUUAUACGAUUGUUACAUAAAUUUAAUAUAAAUUAAUGAUUUGUUGUAUCACUUGAGCAAAAAUCUGUGAAGGUAAUAUUGGAAUUUAAUUUUUAUUGUGUUGGUGAUAGUGUCAAAUAUAUGCUUGUUGGUGGUUGUAGAAUUGUAUAUAGUUUGGCAAUACAUUUUAAAUUUAAUAAUUUUUAGUAACUAUAUCUUAAGGCCAUUUAUAAAUAAAGUAAGACUGAUACUUUAUGUUAUAUUACAUUAUUGGAGCAUAGCACUUGUAGUUAUGUUUUUGUGACUUUUAACUUCCAUGAUUGAAACAUUUUAGUCAUUAAGAUAAUGAAUGUUAUUUAGUUUUAAUAGUUAAUAGACUUGAGGCAAAAGUAAAUGAGAUAUGACAGGUUACAUAUUUCAUGCCUAUUAUUGAAAAUGUAUAGUCAUUAAGUUAUAAUAUUUAUUAGUAGUUUAUAGUAAAUACAAAUGUGAGUCAAUCUACUUCUUUGUAUGUUUAACUAAGGCUGAUUCUAUACAGUUCCUUUGUAUGAAAAAAGACUGUUUCAAGCAUUUGCCUUUCAAGAGUACAAAUUUCUUGUAUAAAAAACAUUGUUUGGUAGUUUGUAUUUAAGAUACUUGUAUUAUCUUAGCUCAAAUAAAAAAACGUUUUUACAUUUCCUAA
Molecule: RNA transcript, 6680 nt
Organism: Bacillus rossius redtenbacheri
Lineage: Eukaryota; Metazoa; Arthropoda; Insecta; Phasmatodea; Bacillidae
Exons: 5
Source: RefSeq, a predicted model, not a curated record